Long non-coding RNA from Hemibagrus wyckioides, 824 nucleotides. RefSeq lists it as uncharacterized. The transcript has 4 exons. Lineage: Eukaryota; Metazoa; Chordata; Actinopteri; Siluriformes; Bagridae. The record is from RefSeq and is a predicted model, not a curated record.
GCAAUGUUUCUUUUGAACAUUGGCAGUUUCUGUAAACCUGCGUCACAAACUGAGCCUAAGGCACUGAACCAUUGCGGAUCAGUUGCCUACAGUAUUUCCCUUAUGUGGUUUAAUUGUAUUUUUUAAUUCUGGUUCUUCACACGCGAACAUGAUGAACAGGGCAUAUUGUGGGAUAUGCUGCCAUAUGGCAACACCAUACAACAAUGGAAAUUGAAGAACUUGGAAAGAACCCAAGGAGCCAAUCAGAUGGCGAGCCUGUGUGGCUCUUAUCAUGGUCUUCUCUCAACCCAAGAGAUCUUGAGGUGACGAUGGAUAGAAUCAAUAGAGAAAAGCAUCUGCUCUACAUAAAGAGAAGGCAGUCUUUCCUGCCCAAGGCACCACAUUCCCACCCCUAGUCAAGAGAGAUCCUCAGUAUAAGGAGUUGAAGCCACAUCAGGGCUAGAAUUACAGCUAAUGAUGAGGUGAAACCACUGAUUAUGGCUACCUCUGCUAAGCCAGGGCUCUGACCAAAAGGGGCCUAAUUGAUUGGAAUAAACUGAUUGGCAGACCCUUUUAAUCAAUCCCCUCAGUUAUCUGACAGCGACAGGCGAAGAUUAGCUUUCUUCAAUAGUCAGAAAAAAAGGGGAGGUUACCUGACAGAAUGGAGAAAAGUAGAGAGGAGAGGCUUGGUAUAGCUGAAAAGUGCGGGCCAUGAAACAAAAGGGAGCAAAAGUGGACUGCACCCCUCCCUCUGUUCCACCACCUGUUUGCUUUGUUUGUAUUUUGAAACAGCAUGCAAGGUGAAAUCUACGUUGGUUAAGAUGUGUAAACUUCACAUAUUAAAA